AACGAACGCUGGCGGCAUGCCUAACACAUGCAAGUCGAACGAGACCUUCGGGUCUAGUGGCGCACGGGUGCGUAACGCGUGGGAACCUGCCCUUAGGUUCGGAAUAACUCCCCGAAAGGGGUGCUAAUACCGGAUAAUGUCUUCGGACCAAAGAUUUAUCGCCUUUGGAUGGGCACGCGUUGGAUUAGCUAGUUGGUAGGGUAACAGCCUACCAAGGCGACGAUCCAUAGCUGGUCUGAGAGGAUGAUCAGCCACACUGGGACUGAGACACGGCCCAGACUCCUACGCGAGGCAGCAGUGGGGAAUAUUGGACAGUGGGCGAAAGCCUGAUCCAGCAAUGCCGCGUGAGUGAUGAAGGCCUUAGGGUUGUAAAGCUCUUUUACCCGGGAUGAUAAUGACAGUACCGGGAGAAUAAGCUCCGGCUAACUCCGUG
Molecule: ribosomal RNA, 433 nt
Filed under: uncultured bacterium
Lineage: Bacteria
Description: partial 16S ribosomal RNA
Rfam family: Bacterial small subunit ribosomal RNA
Source: RNAcentral